This 271-nucleotide ribosomal RNA is filed under the name Sulfolobus sp. A20-N-F8. Its description in RNAcentral is "partial 23S ribosomal RNA". It matches the Rfam family "Bacterial large subunit ribosomal RNA", at positions 1 to 231 of the family's 2925-position model. Lineage: Archaea; Thermoproteati; Thermoproteota; Thermoprotei; Sulfolobales; Sulfolobaceae. The record is from RNAcentral.
GAUCAAGCGUUUAAGGGCUUCUGACGGAUGCCUUGGCGUAGAGAGGCGAUGAAGGACGUGGCAAGCUGCGAUAAGAGCCGGGGAGGCGCUAGCACCCUUUGAUCCGGCUAUUUCCGAAUGGGGAAACCCACCUUUACAGUCUUCCAACUCUGCUUUUCGGAGCAGCGAUUGGUGGAUUGUUGAAAGGUAUAAUGAGCUGAAUACAUAGGCUUCAUUAAGCGAACCCGGUGAACUGAAACAUCUCAGUAACCGGAGGAAAGGACAUCAACCG